AACACUUUAACAGCAUCAGCAUAUUUUUUGACUUCCUGUGCUGUUUCUUGGGUUGAACCACCUAUAUCUUUGUCGAUGGCCAAGACUCUUUGGUAAGUCUUGAUGUCCUGGAACUUCGAAAGCACUGAACUGUCAUCUGACUGAAUCAAAACUUUCUGAGUAGAUUGCUUAUCCAUUGUGGCGUUGCUCAAGGCAGUGGUGACAGCACCAACAAUGUCAAGACCCUUGUUUGAUGCUAGAUAGGCAGCAUUCUGAUUAAAAGAUCAAGUGUUAAUUAACUUGUGCACGGUUGAAGAGUAUAGUAUAAUCAUGAUGUUACAUGAGACGUGGGAUAUGUAAAACGUUUUACAAGGAACCUGGAAAUUAAAAUAUAUCUUGACAAAUGGAGUCCAUGAAAGAGUUUGAAGUGAAGUGAAUCUUACUUCAAUGUUAAUUAGAACUCCUGUAACUGCCCUAUUCUUAGCAAGAUCCAAGAAUUCAUUAAGAGUAACGAACUUUCCUGCAUUCUUGUUUGCAGGGUUUCGAGCAAGAGGGCCAUCAAAAACGCUUGCAAGUUGAGCUGAAAAGGGAGAAAAGCAUCAUAUGUCAAAAGCUUGAAAAGGUGUCAUAACCAUUUUACUAUUAAAUAAAGCGUUUUGCUUACGUUUUAGUGAUUGAAUUUCAGUCCAAGUGAGAUCAAAGGAGAAUAUUCCAUUCUUAUCUUGAAUUUCAGGUAUCCUGGUAGAUCGGUCCAUGAAAAGAGAUGCUGCAGUGGUUGUCCCUAUAAGAUCAGCAGAAGGCAAGCAGAAGGCGGUUCCAUCCUUGGACAGUUGAACAGAACAAUCGAUUAUCUCGGUUCCAUCAUCUAUGGCUUUCUGGUAUGCAAGAUCAGUCGACCCAGGGUAAUCUCCACUUGCUCCGUCGUGAGAUAUUAUCAAUGCUUUAAUGCAAGAAGACAACGAGUUAUUCCAUGCAGCAAUAGAUUGCAUAAUUUUGUUUUCCAAGACUAUGAAACGAUACAAAGUGUAACACUUCUUACCUUUUACAAUUUUGGGAGCAUUCUUGUUCUGGGCUAGGCAUGCUGCAACAUGAGCAGUUCUCAGGUCAGAACUAGAUCAGGUAAAACCAAGGAAGAAAGCUAAUGUAAAAUUUUGAGACAGUUUCAGUCAGUUUGACUUUUUGAUAGGUUUUGCAGUACUCUUCCUUUUGACUCAUUGAGAAAUAUAUUAUAGGAAUGGAGCAGAGAAAAAGCAUAAAUCUCACCAAUGGACUCUGAUGCGGUGGCAGGGAAAUCCGUAAUUACCCCGUCAACCGAAAACUGAGAAUUGUCUAUAAACUGCAGAUACUCCUUGGUUGGAUCAUAGCUAUAAUUAUAACUUAAGUAGUUAUCAUUUGCAAAGCCAGAAGCAUACACUUCAAGACCUGCUUUGUGGAAAUCAGAUACAGAACUCGUAGCAGGCAGCAAUAGCCUUCCACUAUCUACGGGCCAUAUGCUAUCUUUUGGAAGAAUAAUCCCGGAUGCAAAUGUCUUGAUCAUAUUUAUGUCUGACAGCAGUGUAACAUAUGUUUUUUUCGUUGUAGGUUCAACUUCGUUUAUGCCCGGAAUCUUAAAAAUGAGCUUUGCUGGGUUCACCUUUCCUACUAAGCCCUUCAAGAAUCCAAUCUCUGGUGAUGAAAUGUAUGCAGGAUUCAAGUCUCUCAUGGUAUCUAUAAUAAAUGCUGAUGCGCUGAGUUUCAGUCCGUCGUAGAAACUAGGAUACUGCAGCACAAAAUUGCAACAACAUCAAAUCCAAAUUGUGAAAAACAAAGAAAUCCCAAAAAUUUAUGGACGACUCCUCUAAAAUUCGUGAUUGAUUCUUGGUGUAUUUUGAAUUCUGCUUGUGUUAACUUUACCAUUAAUUAGUGUCAGUUAAAUGAAAAUAAAAGAGCAAGGAAAGGACCUCGACGUUCAUCCAUAGCACUGGAGGAGGACCUUGCAUGCCCACAACAUCAUAGGGUGUCAACAGAGGGUAUGAACCAUCCAUACCAGGGGAUCUUGAGUAAAUGCUUUGCACCACUGCCAGAGAAAGUAUGUGAGUUAGAUCAAUUCAAUGGCAAUUCACAAUCUUUGUGUCUAUCUGGUAGCAACUUAAUUGUUAAGCAGAAGAGCAUUACUAACUCAAGAAAUUACUUCUUUGUGCAGAUUAAACAAUACGAAAUGCAGCUUUCUAAGAGAGAACAGAAGGAGAAUGAAGAAGGAUAGCAAAAGAAACUAUGCAGUAGCAUGGAAUUCAUUAUUUUCUACUGUUUGAAAGGGCACUAGCAUUGCUUCCUAAUCUUCUAAUGCGUUUGAGUUCAACCCUUCUUGUAACUUUCUCUGUUCUUAAUUGUAACCAGAUGAUAGUACUCUACAAACUGAGAAAGGAAACUGAAGCUCUGUAUAACCGUCUGACAACUUACAGAAAACGUUUUUGAGUAGAUCAUCUGCCAAAAAAUCCACCCCAUAGAAUCCUUCCACAUUCUUUCCGUUUAUGUUGUAGGUUCUUGGUUUCAAGUCUGGAAAAGCUGUAGCAAUAGUUGUUGCAUUUUGAAGGUUCAGACUAGACUGGCAAAAGCCCUGUGCAUCCUUUGUAAGUUGGAGAUCACAGAGUAAGAUCGUGCUAGCCAAGCUCGUCUGCUGUGCCGUAGAAUAAGCGGGUAAACUGGACUCUGGUGCAAUUCCAGAGAAUCCACCCCUGGCUACUACCACAGGCUCACCUCCUGCAAAGAGUCAAAUCAGAAAAGGGCAUACAAACUUAUAAUUGGACUAAAGCAUUGAGAUCAUUCGCUUCCUUUAAGCAGGAAAUUGAAUACAACUCAAUGUUAUAAUACAUUACCAUUUAGAGUUAGCCACUUUUUUGCAGGAGGGGGAACAACAGCAGGGUGGCGUCUUCCCCUGCCUCUGGCAGCCACUAGAGUGGUUUGGAUCAACAAGAAAGACAAUAACAGUUGCCUGAUCAUUUUCUUCCAAUCCUGUCAGCCUG
This 2981-nucleotide long non-coding RNA is filed under the name Coffea arabica (coffee). RNAcentral's name for it is "long non-coding RNA (CARA_LNC004075)". Lineage: Eukaryota; Viridiplantae; Streptophyta; Magnoliopsida; Gentianales; Rubiaceae. The record is from RNAcentral.